This 112-nucleotide ribosomal RNA is filed under the name Caerostris darwini. The record is from RNAcentral. Lineage: Eukaryota; Metazoa; Arthropoda; Arachnida; Araneae; Araneidae.
AACGGCCGUACCAUGCUGAAUAUACCGGUUCUCGUUAGAUCAUCGAAGACAAGCAUCAUUGGGCGCGGUCAGUACUUGGGUGGGUGACCACUUGGGAACACCGCGUGCCGUU